RNAcentral lists this long non-coding RNA (328 nucleotides) under Solanum tuberosum (potato). RNAcentral's name for it is "long non-coding RNA (STUB_LNC002535)". The record is from RNAcentral. Lineage: Eukaryota; Viridiplantae; Streptophyta; Magnoliopsida; Solanales; Solanaceae.
AAUCUGAGCCUCGGAACCUCAUAUGUUGACCAAAGUCAACUCUUUAUCAAAAUUUCACAACUUUAGCAACUUAGGACCUCAAUUCUUCGUUUCAACUCCAAAUUCAACUCCGUAACUUCACACAGACCCGUUUCGACAUUCUAAAACUGCCGGAAUCGACGGAAAUCCGAUCCGAGUCCCGAAACUCCAAAUGACUCGAAAAAGCACUUUUUAACCAACUUUAACUCAUAAAAACUCAACUUCUCAAAAACUCAACUUUUUACCAACUUUUCCUCAAACCAACUUUACAACCACAAAACAUGGGACUCGAGGCAACUACCGAAAGGGC